GCUGCCCAGGACAAGAAGAAGAAACAUGCUGGAAACGUGGUAAAGAAAGACAAACUUCCAGUGAAAAAAUCUGGUGGUAAGCCCCAAAAAGUAGUAGUAGUCCAAAGGCAAAGUCUGGGACAAGCUCAAUAACCUAGUCUUGUUUGACAAAGCAAAUAUGACAAAACUCUGUAGAGAAGUUCCCAACUGUAAGUUUAUAACUCUAGCUGUCGUCUCUGAGAGACUGAAGAUCCGUGGUUCCCUGGCCAGGGCAGCCUUUCAGGAACCCCUUAGUAAAGGACUUAUUAAACUGGUUUCAAAGCACAGAGUUCAAGUAAUUCACGCCAGAAACACCAAGGAUGGAGAUGCCCCAGCUGCUAGUGAAGAUGCAUGA
This 373-nucleotide long non-coding RNA is filed under the name Bos taurus (domestic cattle). RNAcentral describes it as "long non-coding RNA NONBTAT013762". The record is from RNAcentral. Lineage: Eukaryota; Metazoa; Chordata; Mammalia; Artiodactyla; Bovidae.